GGCCGGUUAGCUCAGCUGGUUAGAGCAUGGUGCUAAUAACGCCAAGGUCGGGGGUGUACUGGCCA
This 65-nucleotide transfer RNA is filed under the name Pleuronectes platessa (European plaice). It matches the Rfam family "tRNA". Rfam says of the family: Transfer RNA (tRNA) molecules are approximately 80 nucleotides in length. The record is from Rfam by way of RNAcentral. Lineage: Eukaryota; Metazoa; Chordata; Actinopteri; Pleuronectiformes; Pleuronectidae.